This 619-nucleotide ribosomal RNA is filed under the name uncultured bacterium. RNAcentral's name for it is "bacterial SSU rRNA". It matches the Rfam family "Bacterial small subunit ribosomal RNA", at positions 338 to 956 of the family's 1533-position model. The record is from RNAcentral.
CCUACGGGAGGCAGCAGUGGGGAAUUUUGGACAAUGGGCGCAAGCCUGAUCCAGCAAUGCCGCGUGCAGGAUGAAGGCCUUCGGGUUGUAAACUGCUUUUGUACGGAACGAAACGGCCCUUUCUAAUACAAGGGGCUAAUGACGGUACCGUAAGAAUAAGCACCGGCUAACUACGUGCCAGCAGCCGCGGUAAUACGUAGGGUGCGAGCGUUAAUCGGAAUUACUGGGCGUAAAGCGUGCGCAGGCGGUUAUAUAAGACAGAUGUGAAAUCCCCGGGCUCAACCUGGGACCUGCAUUUGUGACUGUAUAGCUAGAGUACGGUAGAGGGGGAUGGAAUUCCGCGUGUAGCAGUGAAAUGCGUAGAUAUGCGGAGGAACACCGAUGGCGAAGGCAAUCCCCUGGACCUGUACUGACGCUCAUGCACGAAAGCGUGGGGAGCAAACAGGAUUAGGAUACCCUGGUAGUCCACGCCCUAAACGAUGUCAACUGGUUGUUGGGUCUUCACUGACUCAGUAACGAAGCUAACGCGUGAAGUUGACCGCCUGGGGAGUACGGCCGCGAAGGUUGAAACUCAAAGGAAUUGACCGGNGNGNGAGNGCGAGACGACGACGAGGAGAGG